Molecule: long non-coding RNA, 1318 nt
Filed under: Cottoperca gobio
Lineage: Eukaryota; Metazoa; Chordata; Actinopteri; Perciformes; Bovichtidae
Description: lncRNA (ENSCGOG00000005858.1)
Rfam family: U1 spliceosomal RNA (bases 700-863)
Source: RNAcentral
GGCACAAUAACAAACAUAGUAGUGCAAACAAAUAUAAAUACAAUCAAUGAAUAAACAACAGUAACAGCAGUUUUUGUGUGCCUGAGAUAUUCUUCUGAAGGAUGUGCUCUCAUGAUAAUGAUAUAUAUAGUACAACAAAACACAUUUAAAUUAAUUGAGAAUUAAUAUGUAAUAGUGAACUAUUAAUAAAAAAAUAAAUGGGCCUACUGUAUUGCAUGUACUUUACCAUAUUUUAAGGGGAAUACCAGGAUAAAUGUAUAUUGUAGUAAGAUAAGAAAGUAUAGUGUACAUAGCGUGCAGUUCACUCUGGUGUCCACUGGUGUGCACUGGAGCGCUGUCGGUCGUCUGUCCAGCCGUUAACAGAUCAGACGUUACAUUAUUCCCUCAUAGAGGAAUUAUGAAACGUUAUUAAGUUAUUGUUGCAUGUAUGAUUCAGAUCACAUUAGAUGUGUUUAAACUAGAAGUUACUGCUCUCUCUCUGACAGUAAAUGAAACAGCGCUUGCGUUUAAAUUCUUAUUGGACUAGAUUGUGACACGUGACCAGGAAGCGCUCUGUCGCAGCACAUGCGACAACAUUACUUUGUUAAAAUGACACAGUGUGCUGCCAUAUUCCUCCUUUUUAGUCAUCUACUGUCGUUAAACCGUCACAGAGAACAGUUCUUCCCAGGAUCAGGUCCCGGUCUCUGACGUGUACAACUCAUACUUACCUGGCAGGGGAGAUACCAUGAUCAACAAGGUGGUUCACCCAGGGCGAGGCUUGGCCAUUGCACUCCGGCUGAGCUGACCUCUGCGAAUUCCCCAAAUGUGGGAAUCUCGACUGCAUAAUUUGUGGUAGUGGGGGACUGCGUCCGCGCUCUCCCCUGAUAACUGUGUUAAUAGAAAUUAAUAUGAUAAUACAUCAAAGCACUGAUGUUUGACGUUGAUUGCUGUGAAGCUGGUUACACUUGUGUCAGAAGUUCCCUGUUUCUCAUGAGCCACUAUAGCAUAACAAGCUCCUGUGAUAAUGUUAUUCAUUUAUAUUAGUUUAAUUUAAAUAAGUAAAUCUAGAAUGAUCUAAUGAAAUCAGCCACGACUGCCCCCUGUUGUUUAUAGGACGUCUGUCAGUCAGUGAACAAGAGAGGAAUCUGACAAUUGUUCGGUUUGCAGAUUAAAUAUUUGUUGAAGUCUCCUGAAGGUGGAACAAAUAUAUGGUGUUGUAAAGAGUUAACAUUAAAACAAUUGAAACUCAGCUUGAAUCCUGCAGUCAGCUCUGUUCUCCACUAGAAACUAGUAUAUCCAUCUUCUUGUUUAACAUUAGCGAUUUUAUAAUCUGUAUAAA